RNAcentral lists this non-coding RNA (29 nucleotides) under Mus musculus (house mouse). The record is from RNAcentral. Lineage: Eukaryota; Metazoa; Chordata; Mammalia; Rodentia; Muridae.
UGUCUGUUCUUUCAUGAUAAUAGAGUGUC